GCUACGAGCACCCUGAACCGCUUCUCAGCUCUUCAGCAGUCAGGACCUUCAUCCACGUCCUCCUCAUCCUCACUGGACCCUGGGCGCCGAGCUCCUCAAAGUUUGUUCUUUUCUGAUGUACGGGAGCAGCUCGAGUCGAGACUGCAGUGAGCGAGACCGGGACCACUUUAAUCGCUUGGACCGACGGGACGGUCGUGAGGACCAAGACCGAGGGCUGGACAGGACGCGUGUCCCCGUCAUUAAACGCAGCUUCAGCAGGGAGAGUGAGGACCGGUCUCGAGCCGGAGACGUGCGCCGUGUCUCCAGUAUGACGGACGAGAGAGAACGCAGGAGCCGAGACCGGACUGCCAGCCAAGAGACCGCAGUGAAGCGUGAAAUGCUCUGGUGCCGACGCCCGCUCCGAGUAAACCCACCCUGAACGAGGAGGAGCUGGAGAAGAAAUCCACUGCCAUCAUCGAGGAGUACCUGCACAUCAACGACCUGAAGGCUGCAGUGGAGUGUGUACAGGAG
Molecule: long non-coding RNA, 510 nt
Organism: Ictalurus punctatus (channel catfish)
Lineage: Eukaryota; Metazoa; Chordata; Actinopteri; Siluriformes; Ictaluridae
Source: Ensembl